GGACCCGUGGCGUAGUGGAUAGCGCCACCGACUUCUAAUCUGUUCUCGCUUCAGGUAUGCUCUGGUUCGAUUCCCGCGCACGGGUCCA
This is a non-coding RNA of Aphelenchus avenae, 88 nucleotides long. NCBI's taxonomy places the organism in Eukaryota, Metazoa, Nematoda, Chromadorea, Rhabditida, Aphelenchidae. The record is from the annotation of a GenBank genome assembly.